GACAACUUGCCCCUAAAAGGGGGUGGUGCUUUUAUGCUUCAACAAAUUCUCACGUUGGUUAUCGCCCCAAUUUUUUGCGGAUUGGAUCUGGAAAUGAUUUCUCGUUGGUUAGACGAGAAAGUCGAUGACUAAGAGCUAGUUGUCAUUAACCCACACGUUCCGAGUCGCAAUGAACGAAAAG
Non-coding RNA from Enterococcus sp. 2G9_DIV0600, 181 nucleotides. The record is from Rfam. Lineage: Bacteria; Bacillati; Bacillota; Bacilli; Lactobacillales; Enterococcaceae.